GGCCAGUGGUUGUUCCCUGCAUUCAAUAUGCGAUGGGAUCGAUUUUUUCUGCUUUCACUUUUCUCCUUGCCUAAAACAUAAUUACAACAGUAUUUUAAUCUACAGGCUGGACACAGAUUAAGAACAUUGUGUCAACCGAAAUAGCAUUAACUUAAUAAAGAUCAUUGAUGGUAACAUGCUGUUUUGCUUCUUCUUGCAGGGUGAGGACAGCAUGAACAUCCCUAAGUGUGCCUCUGGGCAUAUUCAGCCAUUCGCUUUUGAUUAGAGGAAAGAAGAGGGCCAUCCACUUGAAAGGCAAAGCUGCAGUGACGAAAGGAGUGGUGUAAUUUUUGAAUUUCAAGAACAGUGAAGUAGGCGAUGGCAGCGAGCGUAUAAAAGGACACGUACACCAUUAAGUUCUUUGGAAUACACAAAAGUAUCUGACUAGAAAGCUUAUGAAAUAGAAGACAAGAUCCUGCCUCAGGAAGCGUACAUGAGAAUAAUUUUAAAGGAACCCAGCGAUAAAUGCAAAACAGUAGCUGUUGGAGGUGAUGGAAAUGUACAGGAACAGUGGGAGAAGCCGGUAACUUAUAGGAAGCCAAGAUGACAAGAAUUUUAAAAAAUAAUCAGACACACACAGUUUGUACAGAGAGCACCUUUGUAAAGUUGAGAAACAGCGCUCCCCAUCAUCAGUUGUAGUAUACUCCCUCUCCUGCAUUGAAGAGGCCAACCUUCAUCAGAGGUUAGUACUUUAAAUAAGGCAUUUAAAUAAGGUACUUAGGGUUAACCAACUUGACCC
This 778-nucleotide long non-coding RNA is filed under the name Bos mutus (wild yak). RNAcentral's name for it is "lncRNA (ENSBMUG00000006421.1)". Lineage: Eukaryota; Metazoa; Chordata; Mammalia; Artiodactyla; Bovidae. The record is from RNAcentral.